RNAcentral lists this ribosomal RNA (301 nucleotides) under uncultured bacterium. RNAcentral's name for it is "partial 16S ribosomal RNA". It matches the Rfam family "Bacterial small subunit ribosomal RNA", at positions 509 to 807 of the family's 1533-position model. The record is from RNAcentral.
CAGUCGCCGCGGUAAUACGAAGGGGGCUAGCGUUGUUCGGAAUUACUGGGCGUAAAGCGCACGUAGGCGGAUACUUAAGUCAGGGGUGAAAUCCCGGGGCUCAACCCCGGAACUGCCUUUGAUACUGGGUAUCUCGAGUCCGGAAGAGGUGAGUGGAAUUCCGAGUGUAGAGGUGAAAUUCGUAGAUAUUCGGAGGAACACCAGUGGCGAAGGCGGCUCACCGGUCCGGUACUGACGCUGAGGUGCGAAAGCGUGGGGAGCAAACAGGAUUAGAUACCCCGGUAGUCCCUGUCUCUUAUAC